Molecule: long non-coding RNA, 1605 nt
Filed under: Ananas comosus (pineapple)
Lineage: Eukaryota; Viridiplantae; Streptophyta; Magnoliopsida; Poales; Bromeliaceae
Description: long non-coding RNA (ACOM_LNC019394)
Source: RNAcentral
AUUCUUCAUCGACUGAAAGAUCAUGAAGUGAUUGCUAGCACCGUCCAGAUGGUCCGUGACUCAUCCGGUUCGUGAGACGAAGAUCGAUCGGGUAUGCGCCAAUUCCGUGUGGAUACGCGUAGAGGCCGGGCAUGUGCGUGGCUAAUCGGAAUCUCUAUUCGUCAUAUUCACUUUCAACCGUACAGUAGAUCAAGAGACCUUAACUGGUCCAUGGUAAGAUUUCUAAACAUAAAGAGUUUUUGUUUAGAUUAAUUUUUGCAUAGUAACAUGAGAAUGAUCCGCCGGCAACGGUUUGAUUUAUUGGUUUUCGGUUUUCAUAUGUGAUAUGUAUUUAGCUUUCGAAAAAUUUUAAAAGUGCAAAAUUAUUUUCCGCUGCGUUUUUUCUAAUGUGCCGGUUAUUUUCUAACAAUAUUAUGCCCCAAAACAAAUAAAUAAAUAAGCAAAUACGAGAUCAAGAUAGUCCAUAUAUAAAUAUAAAACAUAGAAGGUUCACAUACAAGCAUAGUUGGAAACUGAUACAAGGUAAAACUUGCACUUCGCAUAGUGCAUACUAGCAUAUCUAAAAUCCAAACAGUAAACAAAUAAAAGAUAGAAGGUUCACAUACAAGCAUAGUUGGAAACUAAAUAUAAGUUAAAACUUGCACUUUGCAUAGUGCAUACUAGCAUAUCUAAAGUCUAAACAGUAAACAAAUAAAAGAUAUAUAAAGUUCAUAAUUCCGCAUAUAAGCAUACAUAAAAGCUUGAAUAAACAUAAAGCAUACAAGCACAGAAAGUUCUAGGGGGGUUUGAGUCUUGCGACACCACCCGAGUACACUUUAGAACAAUAUUUGCACUUAAAUUUUUCAUUCAAUUCUUCCGCGUGAAUCCAAAACCUAUCUUUCUUUCGAACCAUUUUUCUGCACAAAAAAAUUAACGACUCAAAUAUUUCAAGCUCUAACACAUGACCGCCUAACAUGGAUUCUCGAAAGAAUAAAAUUACAUCGAAAGAAUAUUAAAAUUACCCAUCAAUCAUGCAUCAAACAUAACCUAACUCGUAAGUAAUAAAUCCCACUUCAUCGGUUCUGAGUCUUCACUCUUCAUACAACAAUAAGCAAAUUAAUGAAUGUAACAACAAGUAACAACAACUUAACUAGGACUAACAUGGAAAUCCGGAGUUAAGAGAAAGAGAAGGAUUCUAAAGUUAGACAUCUUCAAACUCUUAUUCUCCAGAUCUUCUCAUUUUAUAGUGAAAAAUUGCUACAUUUCUAAUACUAAAAAGUUAGGUUUCAAAAAUUAAGUAGAAACCCCACUAAGUCAAUGAUCCAUGAAAGACCACAACAAAUUUUCCUUUUGCAAGUGUUGACAAGAUCAUGAAAUUGAUUAGGUAUAAUACAAGAGUUCCUGAUCCCUAAGUUAAUUAAGAUUAUUUAGCUCUAUGUUUGGGUCUUCUAUGUUUGGGCUUAACAGAGAAUGGACACAUACAUUCAAUUUAAGCACUCGAGCCAUUUGUGUAUAAAAAUGUAUCCAUCAGAUGGACUAAAAGCUUCCAACUUUUGCUUUGAAGAAUGAAAACUCAAAUCGUACCUGAAUUGUAAAGAACCACCCGAUUACUGAUCUAUCGUUGGA